UCUAUAGGAAGGUUUUCCACACCAAGUUAGGAGGAGACUGUAGAAUCUGCCCGCAGUGAGAAACAGAGGAGCCCCUUUCUGCUUGCAUAUGGAUAAUAUUAUACAAUUUCUGGAGGGGCAUAUAGAUCCCGUUCUGCGUAUCAAGGAGGCCACCUUCCGGCCUGCACGCCCCCCCACACUAUUCCUAACUUACCAUGAAGAAAACCUAUGAGUUUAGAAUUAUGACAUCAAAGCCGCCCCUGGAAACCCAGGCCAGAGGUUUAAAGUUCGUGUUCAUAAUUUUUCCUCCACCCAAUUAACGCAUUGGUCUUUUUUAACGUUCCACGCCCCAAUUCCGUUGUAAAGUUCGUAUGGUUAAAGGCCCAGCCCCUCAAAUGACUUCGAGACUACUUUGGGUGUGUAGUAAUGAUGGUGUCAACCAGAGUUUAAUUCCCCGCACCAGUCUGAUGACUAUAGAGACUCACAAUCUUUCAAAAGUUCAUAGGUGGAUGAAAGACCAAUGGAGCGUGCACAUGCCCCUGAGGCGAGCUGAACUCCUAAUGAAUUCCUUUAGUGAUUCUUUUUUCUGUUGGUGAACCUGCGGAAGGAUCAUUAAUGAAUUCACUAUGGAGUUGUUGCUGGCCUCUAGGGGCAUGUGCACGCUUCACUAGUCUUUCAACCACCUGUGAACUUUUGAUAGAUCUGUGAAGUCGUCUCUCAAGUCGUCAGACUUGGUUGCUGGGAUUUAAACGUCUCGGUGUGACUACGCAGUCUAUUUACUUACACACCCCAAAUGUAUGUCUACGAAUGUUAUUUAAUGGGCCUUGUGCCUUUAAACCAUAAUACAACUUUCAACAACGGAUCUCUUGGCUCUCGCAUCGAUGAAGAACGCAGCGAAAUGCGAUAAGUAAUGUGAAUUGCAGAAUUCAGUGAAUCAUCGAAUCUUUGAACGCACCUUGCGCCCCUUGGUAUUCCGAGGGGCAUGCCUGUUUGAGUGUCAUUAAAUUCUCAAACUCACUUUGGUUUCUUUCCAAUUGUGAUGUUUGGAUUGUUGGGGGCUGCUGGCCUUGACAGGUCGGCUCCUCUUAAAUGCAUUAGCAGGACUUCUCAUUGCCUCUGCGCAUGAUGUGAUAAUUAUCACUCAUCAAUAGCACGCAUGAAUAGAGUCCAGCUCUCUAAUCGUCCGCAAGGACAAUUUGACAAUUUGACCUCAAAUCAGGUAGGACUACCCGCUGAACUUAAGCAUAUCAAUAAGGCGGAGGAAGGAUCAUUAAUGAAAUCAUAUUGAGUUGUUGCUGCCUCUUGAGGCAGUGCCGCUCAUAGUUCUUUCAACCACCUUGAAAUUUUUGAAGAAUUUUGAAGUCUCUCUAGUCUUCGACUGGUAGCUGGGAAUUAAACGUCUGGUUUGACACCACUCUUGUACUUACCACCCAAAAGUAUGUUUCGAAGUUAUUGAAGGGGCGUGGUGCUUUAACAAAAAAAAACUAUAAACAGAUGUUGGGCUUGAACGUUAAAAAAGAACGAAUGGCGCUAGUUUGUGUGAAGCAAAAUUCAUGACCACCAAACUGUGAAGCACUGGGCCCUUGGGUUUCAGGGGGCAGGCCUUUGAAGGUUAAAAUCUCAACCCAAUGUGUUCUCUCAUGGUGAGAUUAGGAAGGGUGGGGGCUCGCUGGCUGAAAGGUGGCACCCUUAAAGGCAUGAAUGGAUGUUUAAGCUCCUUCGAGUAUGGAUUAUAGAUAUACUAUUGCGACGAAAAUGGGGGCUGCUUUUGUAUCUCGUGGGACUGUGAAUAUUCUUCCUACCUGGUGUGAAACCCCUCUAAAUUAAAGCCAGAUAUUAUCGAGACGAAAAAAAUU
RNAcentral lists this ribosomal RNA (1835 nucleotides) under Pleurotus floridanus. Its description in RNAcentral is "eukaryotic LSU rRNA". The stretch from base 826 to 979 matches the Rfam family "5.8S ribosomal RNA". The record is from RNAcentral. Lineage: Eukaryota; Fungi; Basidiomycota; Agaricomycetes; Agaricales; Pleurotaceae.